Molecule: ribosomal RNA, 314 nt
Filed under: uncultured bacterium
Lineage: Bacteria
Description: partial 16S ribosomal RNA
Rfam family: Bacterial small subunit ribosomal RNA
Source: RNAcentral
UUAUAAGAGACAGCAGUAGCCACGGGAAUACGGAGGGUGCAAGCGUUAAUCGGAAUUACUGGGCGUAAAGGGCGCGUAGGCGGCCUGUUAAGUCGGAUGUGAAAGCCCGGGGCUCAACCCCGGAACUGCAUCCGAGACUGGCAGGCUUGAGACCGGGAGAGGAGGGUGGAAUAUCCAGUGUAGAGGUGAAAUUCGUAGAUAUUGGAUGGAACACCAGUGGCGAAGGCGGCUUACUGGCUCAUUCUAGACGCUGAGGUGCGAAAGCGUAGGGAGCAAACAGGAUUAGAUACCCCUGUAGUCCCUGUCUCUUAUAA